UGCGCAUGCCGCGUGUCAAGUAGAACGUUUGGUUGGCGUCUGUGUCGCAUCUGUGUUGCAUCUGUGAAGUGAGAGAUGCUACCUCCAUUAUUAUAUCUGCUUUGGAACAAUUGCUACACAGAUUGCAAGAACAUCCAUAUCCUUGGAUUUUGUGCCCUUCCAGUGAAAGCCAGUGUUUGAGAAGGUUCAGUUAUGGAUCUUAUGGUUGCUCACACUCAAGAAGACAUCAACCAGGUUUGCCAAUAACUCUAUAUUCCUCAUUUUUAUUGAUUUGGAAAUGAAAACUUCCCUUUAUAAAGCAUUGAAGGCAAUUCCUGUCACCAGGUUACGGCCCCAGAUUUGUUUUUUCAUUAAAGCAAAGAAACAAAAAGAUUCCCUUGUAUCUGAACACAGUCACCUUUGGAAUAAUUUACUUAAGAUAGCUUCCA
Molecule: long non-coding RNA, 428 nt
Organism: Pocillopora damicornis (cauliflower coral)
Lineage: Eukaryota; Metazoa; Cnidaria; Anthozoa; Scleractinia; Pocilloporidae
Source: RefSeq, a predicted model, not a curated record